UAUGUGGUGAAAGGGCUCAGGCCAGCCGGCACAGACGAUAGUCCCAUCUCCGAGCAGUCCACCAUGAUAAAGAUGCCAUCUUCCUCACACUGGCAAGGGGCUGGGCAGAAAGGUGCCUCUGAUUCCCGUCUUUCCUGGACCUGUCCGUAGCCCCAUGCUCCAGGAGAAGACCCCCAGCUUCCAACUGCAGCGCAGAAAAACAGUGCCCCAAGCAGCAUGUCUGACUCUCCACCUGUCUGCAUCUACACCUGCAUAGGACUUCCGAUCUGUUCUAUGAACUGUCUUUCGAGGAAGCUGUGAUGAACUGUUUCCUCUCAGAUGUUCCUGUCUUCUUUUUUUUUUAACCUCUAAUUCUCCCUCUGUGGGUUGUCCACACUGUAAAUCUGUCCUGUCAGAUGACCUGCUUCUUCAUCUCUAUUAAUCUUCCUAUUUCCCGGCUUCUGCUUUACUCCCCUAGAGUUCUGCUUUAUAUUAACUUCUCUUUUGUUCCAGUCUUCCUUCUUUUUCCAUAAACAAUAUUUUUCUUCAAGUUGGUUUCUGUUUUUCUUUGUCCUUCUCUCUAUCUCUGUGGACAUAUAUAUAUUUAUAUAUAUCUGUUGCUCCGUGUCUCCCUCUCCUUACCUAUUGUAAGAGAAGUAAAUGAGCCAACCUCAUUGGCCCACAAUUUAGGGAUGGGCUGGAGCAUCUCCGGAAAGUGGGAGGAGUCCACAAUUCUCAAACUUCCAACUCUUCCCUCUCUUUUUCCCCUCUCUUCCCUCUUCUAAUUUUGCUCUGCGUUGAAUUUUGGUUUUAGCCUAGAGGAUAAGAAAGUUAAUUUGCCGAAGGUUAAAGAGAGAGUCAGAGAGUAGAUGAUGGUAAAGACCGGUCCUGAGCUACAGAGGACUACAAGCAGACUUUCUUAGAUUAAGGACUCAAACAGCUGAAUGAACUUGUGAGAGUGUCCAACUGGCGGGGACAAGUGGUGGAGAAAACUGAAAUUCUGACACUUCAGCACCCUUCAGUUCCCAGAAGGAGCCGAAUCUAGUGUCUCAUCCUGAACAGUUCUGCCUCUGGACCUCCGAGCCUGCCUGUUCCCGUCUGAUCUGUUUGCUUGACCUGUCUUCGGACUCCUGCUGGAUCUCUUCCUUUCUGUGUACGGAACCUGGAACUGUUACCCGACUCCAUUCUGGAUUCUCCCUCAUCACCUCUUUGGAUCUUUGACAUCCUGGCUCUGACAACUGAGCAUGUCACCGACAACGGCUUUGCUUCGCCCUCUGGAUUAUCCUGCCUACCUUCAUUUGCUCGGUUCUGGUCUCCUGUCUGUCCUCCUACCACCGAUGUAUCAGCAUCUGAGAUUCUCUUGAGAAAUCUGUUUGUCCACCUCGAAUAUUGGAUCCUGUCAUUCAAAGCCUCACAAAUUAUCUAAAAUUUAUAUAACAUGAGAAUGUUUUAAUUUCUUUUUCUUGGCUCCACUUUUAUUGGUAUUCUCAAUACUGCUACUGAUACUCAUACUCAUACUGAUACGCAUUGUCUUCUGCUUAUCAGGGACCGGCGAAAGUAGUCUGAGUAGAGACUCCCAUACUUCCCGCUCCCCAGACACCUCCUCCAGCUCCUCUUGGAAUAACGUAUGGUGCUCCCAGGCGAGCUGAGAAAUGUAGUCCCUCCAGCAAGUCUUGAGGUGUCCUCCAGUCCUCCUCCCAGUGGGAUGUACCUUGAACACCUCCGGAGGGAGCUGUCCAGGGUGCAUCUAGAACAGAUGUGCAAGCCACCUCGGCUGACUCCUCUCUGUGUGGAGAAGAGGCUCUACUCCGAGUCUCAGCCGGGCAACCAAACUUCUCAUCCUUUAUUUAAGGGUGAACCCUUCUGAGAAGGCUAGUUUCUGCUACAUGUAUCUAGGAUUUUGUUCUUUCAGUCAUAAUCCAGAUUUCUGUAACCAUAGGUGAGGGUAGGAACAUAGUUCGAUUGGUAAAUUGGGAGCUUUGCUUUCUGCCUAAGGUUUCCCUUUAACACAACAGACUGGUACAGCAUCCACAUUAAAGUAGCAGCCAUACCAAUCUCUCUCUAUAUCUCCUUCUCCAUCCUCCCCUCACUUGAGAACAGAAGUCAAGAUACUUGUACUUGUUGAGCUUUCAGUGCCCCUGGAGUGGCAGACUGGGGUUGUGGUUCCUCUUCAUAUGAAAGGGGACAGGAGUGUGUGUUCUAACUGCAAAAUUUCCUUUUGUAUAUACUCUUUGUAUACAUAAUGACAAUAUAAGUUCUCCAAGUCUACAGGGGAUCACACACCUUAGCCUCUAAAGGUAAGCCUGUGUGAGGAUGAGCAAUGUGGUAUUAGUCAUUGCAAUAGAACACUGGUCAGUACUAGCAAUGUAACUGUUUCCAUAAGAGUGCCCUCUGGGGGGCACUCCAAGAGGAGGGGGUACAGGUAUAAAGUUAGGGGUUAAACUAAGACAUGAUCAAGAAUUUAACAAUAGCCUCAUCCUAUAGCACCAUAACUGUGGAGAUAGCAUAGGAUAACCCGAGCCACUCUAACUAAAAGCUUUUUCAAAAAGAAUGCUUUAAGCCGAAUCUGUCUGCCUCAUGAACUGAAACUGGAAGUUUGCUCCUUAGGAGAUGAACCUGAUAACUAAAAUAUCUGCCUCCCAUUCUACUUAUAGUCCUAGGAACCCCUGUAGACCUGUUAAUUGAGAGCCAAGUCCUUUAGGAAAAGUGAGAAAAUCAGAUCUCUAAAAUAAUGUUUGUCAGAAGAAUGUUUUAUAUUCUGGAUUUAAAAGCAAAGGUAAGGAAAGGAUACUAAAAUAGGAGAAAUAUGAUCUCCCUUUAAUUAUCUUCAGAAUUCUGCCUGCAGCAUUUUGGAUCAGAUGAAGGCUAUUGACUACAACGUCUAGACUUCCUGAUUGAAGAGUUAGAAUAAUCCAGUUUUGAAGAAACAAAUGCAUGGACUAGUUUCUCUGCAUCACCACGGGAUAGUUAUUUCUAAUUCUUGCAAUAUUGUGCGGAUGCAAGAAGGAAAUGGCAAGAAACCGGUUUAAUAUGGAAUGUAAAUUACAAAUCCUGAUCAAAAAUAAAACUAAGGCUUUUUACUAAAUCAUCUUCAUCCCAGUUUAUAAAAUAAACAAAUACUGUACAACUGCAAAAGGGUUGUGGAUAGUUUCCUUUUGAGGAUGUUUUAAAUCCCAUCAAGUCUGUCUGAGAGAGGUGUUUUCCUUUUGUCCUUUUGUUCAUAAAGUCCACAUUGGUGAUACUGUAACCCACAUUCCUCAGGGGAAUAUGGUCUGACUGUACAUGCUGGAGACUGUUUGGUGUCUUAAAGCCUUCGUUUCUGUAACAAAAUGUCAAACCUUAAUGUGUUGAAUGUUACUGAAUAGCUUUAUUUAAGGUACAACAAUCUAAGAAGUAAAGUCCUUGCAUGUCAGGCUACUUUGAUGCAAAGUUAUGGGUGCGUGUUUUCUUUGAAAGAAACAAUUGUAAUAACACUGAAACAGUGAUUUUUUCUCUUUAUUAGUCUGCUGAUAAGCAUUUGGAUCCUGAUAGCUUCAGAAGCGCAUCCAUGGAUGCACAAAAGUCAAAUUAAUUGUGCUUUUGCAAUAAAAAAGUUAAAGUUAAAAUUAAAA
Long non-coding RNA from Cyprinodon tularosa, 3590 nucleotides. RefSeq lists it as uncharacterized. The transcript has 2 exons. The record is from RefSeq and is a predicted model, not a curated record. Lineage: Eukaryota; Metazoa; Chordata; Actinopteri; Cyprinodontiformes; Cyprinodontidae.